RNAcentral lists this small RNA (889 nucleotides) under Micrococcus endophyticus. RNAcentral's name for it is "bacterial SSU rRNA". It matches the Rfam family "Bacterial small subunit ribosomal RNA", at positions 96 to 987 of the family's 1533-position model. The record is from RNAcentral. Lineage: Bacteria; Bacillati; Actinomycetota; Actinomycetes; Micrococcales; Micrococcaceae.
AGGCGAACGGGUGAGUAACACGUGAGUAACCUGCCCUUAACUCUGGGAUAAGCCUGGGAAACUANGUCUAAUACCGGAUAGGAGCGCCUACCGCAUGGUGGGUGUUGGAAAGAUUUAUCGGUUUUGGAUGGACUCGCGGCCUAUCAGCUUGUUGGUGAGGUAAUGGCUCACCAAGGCGACGACGGGUAGCCGGCCUGAGAGGGUGACCGGCCACACUGGGACUGAGACACGGCCCAGACUCCUACGGGAGGCAGCAGUGGGGAAUCUUUCAGCACAAUGGGCGAAAGCCUGAUGCAGCGACGCCGCGUGAGGGAUACCCCGGAUCUGCGGUGGGUACGGGCAGACUAGAGCAGAUUAGGGAAGAAGCGAAAGUGACGGUACCUGCAGAAGAAGCACCGGCUAACUACGUGCCAGCAGCCGCGGUAAUACGUAGGGUGCGAGCGUUAUCCGGAAUUAUUGGGCGUAAAGAGCUCGUAGGCGGUUUGUCGCGUCUGUCGUGAAAGUCCGGGGCUUAACCCCGGAUCUGCGGUGGGUACGGGCAGACUAGAGUGCAGGGGAGACUGGAAUUCCUGGUGUAGCGGUGGAAUGCGCAGAUAUCAGGAGGAACACCGAUGGCGAAGGCAGGUCUCUGGGUUCUAACUGACGCUGAGGAGCGAAAGCAUGGGGAGCGAACAGGAUUAGAUACCCUGGUAGUCCAUGCCGUAAACGUUGGGCACUAGGUGUGGGGAGCAUUCCACGGUUUCCGCGCCGCAGCUAACGCAUUAAGUGCCCCCCCUGGGGAGUACGGCCGCAAGGCUAAAACUCAAAGGAAUUGACGGGGGCCCGCACAAGCGGCGGAGCAUGCGGAUUAAUUCGAUGCAACGCGAAGAACCUUACCAAGGCUUGACAU